This 407-nucleotide ribosomal RNA is filed under the name uncultured Treponema sp. Its description in RNAcentral is "bacterial SSU rRNA". It matches the Rfam family "Bacterial small subunit ribosomal RNA", at positions 355 to 752 of the family's 1533-position model. The record is from RNAcentral. Lineage: Bacteria; Pseudomonadati; Spirochaetota; Spirochaetia; Treponematales; Treponemataceae.
CUAAGAAUAUUCCGCAAUGGACGAAAGUCUGACGGAGCGACGCCGCGUGGAUGAUGAAGGCCGGAAGGUUGUAAAAUCCUUUUAUGACUGAGGAAUAAGUGAAGUGAGGGAAACGCUUCAUGGUGACUGUAGGUCAUGAAUAAGCAACGGCUAAUUACGUGCCAGCAGCCGCGGUAACACGUAAGUUGCGAGCGUUGUUCGGAAUUACUGGGCGUAAAGGGCGUGCAGGCGGCCACCGCAAGUUGAAUGUGAAAUCCCUGGGCUUAACCCGGGAAGUGCGUUCAAGACUGCGGGGCUUGAAUACGGGAGAGGAUCGUGGAAUUCCUGGUGUAGAGGUGAAAUUCGUAGAUAUCAGGAGGAACACUCGUGGCGAAGGCGACGGUCUGGACCGAUAUUGACGCUGAGAC